This 254-nucleotide ribosomal RNA is filed under the name uncultured bacterium. Its description in RNAcentral is "partial 16S ribosomal RNA". It matches the Rfam family "Bacterial small subunit ribosomal RNA", at positions 524 to 776 of the family's 1533-position model. The record is from RNAcentral.
UACGGGGGGAGCAAGCGUUGUUCGGAUUUACUGGGCGUAAAGGGCGCGUAGGCGGCCACCGCAAGUCGACUGUGAAAUCUCCGGGCUUAACCCGGAAAGGUCAGCCGAUACUGCGGUGCUAGAGUGCAGAAGGGGCAACUGGAAUUCUCGGUGUAGCGGUGAAAUGCGUAGAUAUCGAGAGGAACACCUGCGGCGAAGGCGGGUUGCUGGGCUGACACUGACGCUGAGGCGCGAAAGCUAGGGGAGCGAACGGG